AAGGAGGGCAGCAGGCGCGCAACUUACCCAAUCCCGACACGGGGAGGUAGUGACGAAAAAUAACGUGGCGGGGCCCUUUCGUGGUCGCCGCGGGCGGAAUGAGCGCAAUUUAAAAGAGUGUGCGAGGAGCUAUUGGAGGGCAAGCCUGGUGCCAGCAGCCGCGGUAAUUCCAGCUCCAAUAGCCUAUAUCGGAGUUGCUGCGGUUAAAAAGCUCGUCGUUGGAUCUCGGAGGCGGCACGGUCGGGCGCGAUACGCUGCGGGUCCGACCGGCGAUUUCUCGGCCGUCCCUAACCGGCGCGCGGGGCGAGGUGGACUUCGCGGUCCUGCCUCGUUUUUCUCCUUCGCGGGAGAGAACCCGCCGCAUUUUCUGUCUACCUUGAAAAAAUUAGAGUGCUAAAGGCAGGCUAAAACCCCGAGCCUGAAUAUUUCGUGCAUGGAAUAAGCGGGGAUGCUCUUUUUCCGGAGGGCGGUCCGACCGACUGGCGACGUCGCUUUCGCUGUCGGUUUCGCCGGAGAGCUAGGAUUCGAGAGGAACGGUGGGGGGCGAGCGUACCGGGCGGGGAGAGGUGAAAUUUUGUGAUCCGCUCGGGACGACUCGAAGCGAAAGCGCUGGCCCCGGACGUUUUCCUUAAUCCAGAACGAAGGUGGGUGGAGCAAAGACGAUCAGAUACCGUCGUAGUACCGACGGUAAACGCUGCCGACCGGGCCGCGGACGAGGCUCGAGAACAGCGGUUAUGGACCCGUCCGUGGCGGCUUCGGGCAACCUGAGAGUUUACGGGUUCCGGGGGUAGUAUGGUCGCAAGGCUGAAACUUGAAGGAAUUGACGGAAGGGCACCACAAGGAGUGGAGCCUGCGGCUUAAUUUGACUCAACACGGGGCAACUUACCCGGUCCGGACAUCGUCAGGAUUGACAGACGCUCGUGCAGUUCUUUCUCGAUUCGAUGGGUGGUGGUGCAUGGCCGUUCGUGGCUGGUGAAGUGAAAAGUCUGGUUUAUUCCGCUAACGGGCGAGGCCUCGCCCUUAACUAGUCGGCUCGUGGUUCUCGUAUCUUAGUCUCUCCUCACGGGGAGCAGGGAGAACAUCGGGCGAGUCGAAGCGGUCGUCGCUACUUCUUAGGGGGAUCCCGAGCAAGCUUAAGCUAGGUGAGAGAGAUCAAUAACAGGUCAGUGAUGCCCUUAGAUGUCCGGGGCCGCACGCGCGCUACACUGAAGACGAAAGCGCGAGUGCCUACGGUCUUGGUUUGGUCAGGCCGGGAACCCGCCCCGAGAGGGGAGGUUGGGGCUGUUCCUUCACGGGGGCAGUCUCGCCUGCAGCGGGUUAACCGUGCCAAUCGUCUUCGUGCUGGGGAUCGGGGCUUGCAACUCAGCCCCGUGAACGAGGAAUUCCGAGUAGGCGUCCGUCAUCAGCUGGCGCCGAUUAAGUCCCUGCCUUUUGUACACACCGCCCGUCGCUACCUCCGAUAGAAUGGCUAAGCGAGGCCGUUAGACUGGGCCUGCUUUCGAGUGGGCCCGGAAAGGCGUUCGAGCUUAAUCAUUUAGAGGAAGUAAAAGUCGUAACAAGGUUUCC
RNAcentral lists this ribosomal RNA (1566 nucleotides) under Paralepetopsis sp. SWA-2009. RNAcentral's name for it is "bacterial SSU rRNA". It matches the Rfam family "Eukaryotic small subunit ribosomal RNA", at positions 418 to 1804 of the family's 1831-position model. Lineage: Eukaryota; Metazoa; Mollusca; Gastropoda; Neolepetopsidae. The record is from RNAcentral.